RNAcentral lists this ribosomal RNA (454 nucleotides) under uncultured bacterium. RNAcentral describes it as "bacterial SSU rRNA". It matches the Rfam family "Bacterial small subunit ribosomal RNA", at positions 330 to 801 of the family's 1533-position model. The record is from RNAcentral.
ACCGUACUCCUACGGGAGGCAGCAGUGGGGAAUAUUGGACAAUGGGCGCAAGCCUGAUCCAGCAAUGCCGCGUGAGUGAUGAAGGCCUUAGGGUUGUAAAGCUCUUUUACCCGUGAUGAUAAUGACAGUAGCGGGAGAAUAAGCCCCGGCUAACUCCGUGCCAGCAGCCGCGGUAAUACGGAGGGGGCUAGCGUUGUUCGGAAUUACUGGGCGUAAAGCGCACGUAGGCGGCUUUGUAAGUUAGAGGUGAAAGCCUGGAGCUCAACUCCGGAACUGCCUUUAAGACUGCAUCGCUUGAAUCCAGGAGAGGUGAGUGGAAUCCCGAGUGUAGAGGUGAAAUUCGUAGAUAUUCGGAAGAACUCCAGUGGCGAAGGCGGCUCACUGGACUGGUAUUGACGCUGAGGUGCGAAAGCGUGGGGAGCAAACAGGAUUAGAAACCCUGGUAGUCCUUGAC